GGAGAGGUGGCAGAGUGGUUGAAUGCGACGCACUCGAAAUGCGUAAACAGGGCGACCUGUUCAGGGGUUCAAAUCCCCUCCUCUCCU
This 87-nucleotide transfer RNA is filed under the name Tolypothrix tenuis PCC 7101. Its description in RNAcentral is "Tolypothrix sp. PCC 7101 tRNA". It matches the Rfam family "tRNA". From Rfam's summary of the family: Transfer RNA (tRNA) molecules are approximately 80 nucleotides in length. Their secondary structure includes four short double-helical elements and three loops (D, anti-codon, and T loops). Lineage: Bacteria; Bacillati; Cyanobacteriota; Cyanophyceae; Nostocales; Tolypothrichaceae. The record is from Rfam by way of RNAcentral. RNAcentral also lists the same sequence under 2 other names.